This 492-nucleotide ribosomal RNA is filed under the name uncultured bacterium. RNAcentral's name for it is "partial 16S ribosomal RNA". It matches the Rfam family "Bacterial small subunit ribosomal RNA", at positions 29 to 507 of the family's 1533-position model. The record is from RNAcentral.
AGUGAACGCUGGCGGUAGGCCUAACACAUGCAAGUCGAACGGCAGCACAGUAAGAGCUUGCUCUUACGGGUGGCGAGUGGCGGACGGGUGAGGAAUACAUCGGAAUCUACUUUUUCGUGGGGGAUAACGUAGGGAAACUUACGCUAAUACCGCAUACGACCUACGGGUGAAAGCAGGGGAUCUUCGGACCUUGCGCGAUUGAAUGAGCCGAUGUCGGAUUAGCUAGUUGGCUGGGUAAAGGCCCACCAAGGCGACGAUCCGUAGCUGGUCUGAGAGGAUGAUCAGCCACACUGGAACUGAGACACGGGCCAGACUCCUACGGGAGGCAGCAGUGGGGAAUAUUCGACAAUGGGCGCAAGCCUGAUCCAGCCAUGCCGCGUGGGUGAAGAAGGCCUUCGGGUUGUAAAGCCCUUUUGUUGGGAAAGAAAAGCAGCAGAUUAAUACCCCGCUGUUCUGACGGUACCCAAAGAAUAAGCACCGGCUAACUUCGUG